Small nucleolar RNA from Dendrobium catenatum, 83 nucleotides. The record is from RefSeq and is a predicted model, not a curated record. NCBI's taxonomy places the organism in Eukaryota, Viridiplantae, Streptophyta, Magnoliopsida, Asparagales, Orchidaceae.
UCUUAGGGAUGAUAAAGCGAAUGAGAUGACGAGCCCGAUGCAACUUUUUGAUGUGGAAAAAUCGAGGCACUUGUCUGAGAGAA